GACGAACGCUGGCGGCGUGCCUAAUACAUGCAAGUCGAACGCAGUGGGGACUGGUGAGUACCACGUUGGUAACCUCCCCAUCAGAGGUGAUAACACUUGGAAACAGGUGCUAAACCGAUACUGAUGGAUGAACCCGCGGUGCAUUAGCUAGUUGGUGAGGUAACGGCUAACAAAGGCCACGAUGCAUACCAGGACUGAGAGGGUGAUCGCGCACAGUGGGACUGAGACACGGCCCAGACUCCUACGGGAGGCAGCAGUAGGGAGUCUUAGGCAAUGGACGAAAGUCUGACCGAGAAACGCGGCGUGAGUGAAGAAGGUUUUCGGAUCGUAAAACUCUGUUGUUAGAGAAGCGGUAUCUAACCAGAAAGCCACGGCUAACUACGUGCCAGCCGCCGCGGUAAGAC
This 404-nucleotide ribosomal RNA is filed under the name uncultured bacterium. RNAcentral describes it as "partial 16S ribosomal RNA". It matches the Rfam family "Bacterial small subunit ribosomal RNA", at positions 28 to 526 of the family's 1533-position model. The record is from RNAcentral.